GCAGCUCAAGUCCUGGGCAGAAGUCAUGACUUAAAAGACUUACUUCAAACUCCUUGGAGUGCCUCCCUGCUAAAUACCUGCUUAAGUCUGGAGGUUCAAAUGAAGUCCUCCCCCCGCCAUCGUGUGCCACCCCCCUCCUUCUCUCCCGAGAGCAAGAGAGAUCAUGAUUCACAGAUUGUUCACGCAGAUCCUGAGACCAAUGUGCCUUAGGAUGGAAAAAGACAAGUCUGCAGCCUCCAGCCUCUCUCAAUUGUGUUAUCAAUAUCACUUGCAAAGAUUCCAGCUCUUUCUGAUAUCACAGUGAUUAUUAAUUUCCUACUGCUAAUCACUCCCUCAUUCCAUGGCUGCAAAGAGAAACACAGAGAAGGACACAAGACUCUGGAAUAACAAGGUCUUAUGUGUCAAAUGGCUGUGAAAUGUUGGCUAAAACUACAGACAUAUCUUUCACUGAUCAAGCUUGAAGUUUGGGAUCACACACCAGAAAUUUGUGUCUGAAUCUUACAUCUCCAGAGUGGGCUGAGCCUCUUCAGAUGGCAGGUGAUAUUGCAGUUUUUUUCCUGCCAAUCCAAAGAUGGGCCCAGAAGGAAAAAACUGCUCACUGAACCACAUACUUCUCUCUUACUCUCAAGACAUUACAUCAGAGGGUUUGUUGUAGGACACCACAACUGGACAUGGACAGUGUUUUGCAGCAGAACAAGAUCCUAAGGAACGAUUUGGAGAUUUCCAUGGGGGUUGUCUCCUGUUCAUGGUGCUGCAACUUGCUGUCUGCAGGUGAUCAGGAAAGUGACCCUAGAAAGACCAAAAUGUUCGUGAAGCCUUCUCUUUCCCAGACAUGAGCAGAUGCUAACAGCUGUCCCAGCAGACAGGUAACACAAGGUUAAAGGCUAGCAGAGCUGUGUACCUUCAGGAUCUGACUGCCUGCAAACGAAAUGGGUGGUUUCUCAAAACUAAUGAAAAUGGCAGCAAUGAUGAGAAGAAGAAGGAGCUGACAACAACAACAACAACAACAAAAAAAAAAAACAAAACAGCAGAACAAGGAGAAAAGAAACCACCAAAAAAUGAAUUCUGGGUAGUACAAAACAUGGCAGAGCUGAUUUUAAUAUGUGGCAGGUUGAGUUCAGUAAUCUUUGCUAUUCACAUUGAUGUGAAACUUCAUAGAGUUUUAGAGAUUUGUAUCUAUUAAGACAUGUAGGAGUGUUGCUACAACAUGUGAACAAGUUUGCUACCACCUGCCAUUCUUUCUCCAUAAUACAAAUUGAUAUGAACUCUUUUAAAUGCCUAACAGAUAAUUACUCUCAACACUGAAUAAGAAAAGCAACAUCUUUAGAGUGUCCUUUGUCUUUAAAAAGUAAUUUAAAAAAUAGACUAAAACUCAGCAGCAAGGCAAACCAACAUUCGUAUCCGCUCUCUUUUGUUUCUUUGAUUACUUGGAGCCUUGUAAUCAAACUGAGCUUAGUUUCAGGACCCUUGGGGCAGUAUCUCUUAGUUCUCUGUCAGGCUGUGUUGUAAAACAAUCAAUCUUGUUCUUGUGCUGGCUUGGUAGAAGUGCCACAACACAAGGAGUGCAAUGCUUUACUCUUUCUGUGAAGAUUUGAUGACAAAAGUUUUUAUCAGAAGCUGACUGUAUUUAGGAUUAUGAAUAUGCAAUGACUCUCAUUAGUAUUGAAGCACAGGAACAUGGUCUGACAUCUCUUACCACUUUCAGCUGCUGCACAGUUGUCUAAUGAAUUGUCUUGCUCUUUCACUUUCACAGUCUUUGCUGUUAUGGCCCAAUUUGAGAAUAUUAUUGAUGGCAAAAAAUUAAUUGCCAAAAAAUGCUCUUGAUUUUGUUAAGCAGUGUUGAGUCAGGGUUUAAACUGUCAAAACAGAAAACCAUUAAACUCUACAAGGGACAAAUCCAUCACAAGUGGAGAGGAUAUGCAUGUCUGUAUGUAGCCAUGCACAAGCGUAAAGGGGUAUGGCAUGGGUAUGCAUACAGUCUGCAACUUACACAUACAAACAUAUGUGUAUGCAUCAGUGAUUGGUCUCAAAAACCUAAUGUCCUGAUGAAUUAUUUCUUUUAUUUUUGCAAUAAGAACAAAUGGAGAUAAUGGAAAGUUUUUCAAAUGAUUUUGACUCUGGUACAUUGCUACUUGAAUAACCAUUUUAUACUCUUCUUUACUCCAUUGGAAAUAUGUCAAGUACUUUUCACCUCAUCUGCAAUCUGAAUAAGUUCUGCUAAGGAUGGUUCCAACAAGUGAUUAAAAUACAUGGCUUGAUUUGUUGUAUUUGAGGAGGUGUGUAGGCUUUCAGGAACAAGUGGAAACGACACCUAUCCCCCAAUUGGUUAAAAUAAGCAAUUUUUCCUCUAUUUGUCUGAAAUUUCUUCUGACAUAAAAGAAGCUUUAAUGGUUUUCUAUAGAUUGCGAAGGGCAAAGUGAAUUGAAUAGCUUAACAGCUUAAAAAAGUUUAAGCAGCAUUCUGAAAGGUGUGUGUGUACUGCAAAUAAUAAAGGAUAUCAAGUUUUCCCACGAAGAUGUCAGUCCUCUUGAGCUCUAUACCCAUUUAACCAGUAACAGAAAUGGUCCCUGUGCAAGGAAAGAGGAUCUCUUUUUUUUUUCUGAGAUUUUUAGCACUGUUACUCCAACACAAGCUUGGUUUACCUCUUAAUCCAAUCCUAGGACUGUCUGUUCUUAUCAACUUGAUUAGAAAAUAAUAAACAUAUACAUCUUCUGAGUAUCAAAUACAAGAGCAGUUUAAAAUAAAUGCAGUUCUGACAAAAGUGGCUUAACUAUCAUACAUCAAACACUUGUUACCUCUCUGCCUUAGUGACUGCGCAUGACUAAGAAAGAGUGAGUGAUAAAAUCUAAAGAAAGAUGAAACCAACUGGACCUUUUUAAAGAUCAUCAAUCAUUCUGCACAACCAUUAUAUUAUUAGUUCCAGUAAGCCUUGUUCUCCCAUUUUAUGGACAUCUUAAGCCCCCCACCCAGGACCAAUGCUACCAUGGGAAAUAAUUUCUAUGGGGACCAUCUCAGUGUGGACCAAUCAGAUCUAAUCACAUAACAAGCUACUGAAUUAUUCAAUGUUCUCCCUAAUUUUGCAUUUUUCCUGCACUUUGCUGUCACUACAGGGUUUUAAAAGUAUGAGUUUUUACAAUAUUUAUUAAAAAGAUAACCAUCUGCAAAAAUUUUUCUUUCUCAAUGUCUUUCAACAAUCAUCAUGUCCUUGGAUUGUUGCACGGUGUACGUUAUUAUACACAGAAUAUUUUCUCUAAAAGGAAUAACAAUCCACAAUGUGGCACUCAGCUUUAAACUCUUGCAGUUUUUAAUAUAUCAAAUGUAAGGACAACAAUAGUGAAACAAUUGUGUUCAAACAUAAAAUAUUCAUAUUUACGGGGCAAACUAUAACCAGCAUGUCUCUUGACAUGCUAUGAAUACAAGGCUUACAUUGUAUGUGAAAAUAUUUCAGUUUUAAUUGCAAAUCUGUGCAGAGAUGAUUUGGGGUCUGUAAUUAGCACAUAAAUUUCAGACUUUGCAACUGCUAUGAAAACACACAUUAUUUAUGGAACUAUUAUCUAAAUAUAAUUCAGUGUCUUUUGCUUUCAAUAACUACUGUAAAAUUCUGAUUUAAUAAAAUGUGAAAAAUUCCCCAUGUCUAGCACUUCACAUUAUGGAGCAUUCGUUCCUCUCACUGCAUUUCCCCCUCAAUCUGCAGUGGACUUUCCUCUUAUCCAUACUUCACUCAUACCUCAGGGAGAUUUCUUCAUAGCCAUAAAGUGCCUGGCACUUAAUUUGUUUAAAAUGAAAGUCUGGAUUAUUCAAAUAGCUCUGAACUGCACAAACAGAGUAGUUUCUGUUUGACUCUUCCAUCUUCAUGCUUUUCAUCAGAGAUAGAAGCCGGAAUAGAUUGGAGUCCAGUCACAGCUGGGUUUGAGCUCUUGUGUGCAGAUUUCCAGUUAUCCAGAGAGGGUUAAUGGACAGUGUUGCCUUGUUAUCACUCGCUCAUUGUAAACUGUAGGCUCAACCACUUCUAGCUCCCAUCAGUGUAGGGCACAACCAGCUCAAAAUUCGCCGUUUCCUUGCUAGAAAUCCCAUUAUUUUUCAAAACAGGUUACUCACAAAAUCUGUUUUACAGCAAUUGUUUCUGAGACCUUUUACCAUUCUUGAGUUUAAAAGUGUUUUUUUAGGUCACAUGGAACUGAGCAUUUUUCUUGCCAGCUUUGUGCUUGUCUCUAAGUUCAGGACUGUAACUGCAGAUAAAGAGACUGGGCACCAGGUACGCACAAACACCCCAAUAUCAGGUUAAAUAGUAAAACAGAGCUUGUAGUAACAGCAAUGAUGAAUCUGUGACACAUUUGAAAUUUUCUCUCUGCUACAUUUUACCCCCCCCACAUCCUUUUGGAUCCCUGUGUAUAUAGUUUUACUCUACUUGAAGGAAAAUACUUGCCCACUUUCUGUCUGCUUCCAAACUGCAAGACACUUUGCUGUCUCUGGCUGUUCCAGCACCUCUGUGCAAUGACAACUUCAACAGCCACUGCUGUAAUAAUCAAAAUAAGGAUCACUAACAGGGCUGCCUUGCUUCUCCUCUUUAGACUGUCUACUCAAAUAAUAAAAAUAAUUCUCCUGUAUUUUUGUGUAGCCUAUACUACACAGAUUCCUCCACAUCAAUAAUCUAUACGAUCUUUAAAACCUCAGGAAUUAAGUGCUUGCAGUAACCUUAUAUAUUGGUAUAUUUUUCUUAAUGUCUAGCAUAGUGAGAUACCAUGAAGGCCUGAGUUUUCUCAUGAGAAGGAAGGUAGUGCAUUCUGGGAACAGGAAAAAUUUAAUAUAGAAUGUCUUUGAAAAGUGUUGGAGUUGUGCAGCCUUUCACACAAGGAUUUCUAAAAGUGAGAGUGGCAUUUGGCUCACAGGUAGCAGAAUUGUAGUCUAAAAAUUUGGGAAAGCAGACCUGUCCUAAUAUCAUCCAGACCAUUCAAUAUGCAACAACUCAGAUCAGUUUGAUUUUUUUUUCACAUUAUCAAUGUAAUUCUAGAUGCAGAACAAUGAAUCCAGUUUUCAGAUGAGAUUAGUGACACCUGAAUAAUGCAGGAAAUCCCUAAAAAAUGCCAAGAUAGAAAGGAAAUUACAGCACUUUUAAAAAAUAUGACAGAAUAAAUUAUUGCUCCUUAUAAGUGAUAUCAGAAUAUUAGGGUAUUUCUCCUAGCCACCUGUCAAGCAGCUGCACAUAAGACCAUGACAUAUCCUUCUCACUUUCAGCAGUGUUGCUGAAGCUAUAUGAGAUACUUUCCAUAAAUGGAUCAACAUCAGCCCAAACAGUUUUAAUUUUUAAUCUCAUGUUUAAUCAACAUGGAAGUGAUCAAAAGCACAUAUCAGAGAAAUUGUUCAGACCACACUUGAGAACAUUCACCAAGAGGGGUGUAAAGCAGAAGCAAAAGAGUAUACUCUUUGAAGGUACUUCUGAGGCAGACCAGAAAAUGAUUUCAAGAGCAGAAGCUACAAGUACACCUACCAGCUCACUGGUUUUGAUGUUUAUAAGUAUCUGCAUUACAAAAGAAAGCUACAAAACAGUGCAGAGAGACCAACUAUAGAUGCAGUAGAGCCUUUACCUGCCUACUCCCCAAAACAGAAAUUAAAGCUAUGGGUUAAAAAGGUUUUUAAUUUUCGAGUGGUAGGCCAUUGUCAGUAGUCGCUUUCUGCAAUACUGGUAAGCUCAGUAUUUGGUGUUUAUGCACUACUUUAAAUAUUUUAAGUGGGACACUGUGCAGCAGCUAGAGGACAGCAUCCCUCUGUGCUCAGUACUGUACAAAAAAAGGAUCCAUGCAUCAAGACAUCUCUGUGUCUAGGAGAUUACAAUGUAGGGAACUGAUUGGAGAUAUUUCAUCGUCUUGUUAAGGCAGUGGUGUUGAACCCUAGAGGAAAAUUUCAUCCCUUAUGGCACUCCAGCUGUACCUGUAUGGUCAUAUCAUCAUGUAUGUUGUUCUGAGCUUGACCUGGUCUGGGCUAGCCUUGCACUUGAAGGAAAAAACCACCAUAACAUCAUCACCAAAGCAGUUACUCCCAGAACUAUCCUUGCAGGUGGCUGGAUACUGGGGCUAAGUGACCUUUGGGAUCCAGCCCAAAGCUUUUCUGCAAAAACAGGUGAAGGCUGGGCCCGAAGAAGGUUAUUUAGGGUUGAUUUAGCAUUGCUGGUGAAAUCAUUCAAGGAGAGACAUGAUCUGUGCAGAUGGACAAAGCAAUGGGCAAAGCUGAGAUCUACUGCCAGACUGAAAGAAAAAAGAAUUAUCUUAUGCACUGUAGACACUCUUCAUCUGCUUUAAUUUUUAAUAGAAAUUUUCCACUUUAAGUGCUAUGAGCAAUACAAGUUUAAUGUGAACUUAGAGGACCACGCAACACAAGCAUAAUUGACUCACUAUGAUCACUCUUUAGAUAUUUUUUUGCCUUUUUCUUAAGUCUUAAUGUUUCAUUCUUAAUGGAAUCAGAAAAUGACAGACAGCUGGAAUGUGGCAUAGCAGUCAACUAAUGUGAAUUCACCGAGUAGUAAAUAUUGAAAUUAAAUUUGAAUUACUGCAUGAGUAAUUGCUGAUUAGAAAACUGGAAUAAAAGAGUCAGGGUAGGACAUAAGCCACCAGCAAGUCAAAAGAAAUAAUUAUUUUAAAAAAUGUGGGGCCACUCCCAGUUUUAGGGGGUAGGUGAGGGAAGAUGAAGUAAUCACAUCCUCCCACAGGAAAAUGAACAAUGUUAUAUUAUUGCAUACAGAGAUCCCAGAGUGUUUUUCUCUUAAAAAUAUGUCAGACCCAGACUCAUUUUGAGCUUGUAACUUCUUCUGACCAAAAUUUUUAGUCAGAAAAGACAGAGCAAACUUUGUAUUUUUUGCAUCUCUUUGUAAAGAAGGAUGGCUUCACAGCUGUUUCUUGAUCCCCCAAACAGGUCUGACUAAAUGCAUAGGAAGAGCAAAACUUGGUAACUUUUGGGUAUUAGUCCUUACCCACAACAGCGUGAAACAGAAAAGGAGGAGACAUGCUUAGCAGUAAUCUGGAUCUGUUCUAUUUUCAGCUUUAGUAACAAUGUUUUGUUAUUCUUGAUCAUGACAUUAAUUUUUUCUAUAUUUCAGUGUAUUCACCUUAAAACAACUGUAGUAAUAAAUUUCCAUUGCAGAUCAAUGCUAGAACUCCUAACUUAUGGGAGCAAAGUGUUUUGAGAUCCUCUUAGGAAAAGAGGUAUCCUCUUAGAAAAGGAAAGCUGUGCAAGAAGAUAUCUGGCAAGAAACACCAGUUUAUGAUACCACCACCACCUGUGAUUCCAUCAUCUUACAGGAUAAUCUUUCCUCCUUUCAAUUAACACAUCUUAGCUCAAAUCCUAUCAAAAUAUUUGCAUAGAUGCAGAAGUUCUCAGAACUCUCCUCGAGACGAGGGAAAAUGUUUACUUGUGAAGAAAGCUUAUUAACAGUCAAAGCAAUGAUGGAAUCAGCACUUGGGGCAACUCCAAAACCACCUACUUAAACUUGCAAGGAAAAGAGUUAGAUACAGAUUCUGGUGGCAUAAUUAGUGUUUCCUCUGGUUUGGUUCUCGUUAUUUCUGUUCCCAUUUAUUAAAAGCAAAAAAAGGGGGAAAAGUAAAAGAAAAAGGGAAAAAAAAAGGUUUUAAAGCUGUGAUUGUGUUCCCCAGCAAACCUGAUUGUGAUUUCUAUUUUGCAGGAGAUUUUCCUUAUAUCUGCUACCAGGCUGA
Catharus ustulatus (Swainson's thrush) is the source of this 7703-nucleotide long non-coding RNA. RefSeq lists it as uncharacterized. The transcript is spliced from 7 exons. Lineage: Eukaryota; Metazoa; Chordata; Aves; Passeriformes; Turdidae. The record is from RefSeq and is a predicted model, not a curated record.